CAUACUCUCUUUUCUUUCGAAGAAGGCAAGAUCCUUUCUUUGGUGCCAAUCUGUUACUGCAAGACUUUGAAAAGAUGCUGAUAUGGUUGGAGCUGGGCAUCAUCUGAGAUUCAUGACAUCAGAGAAAAUCUAUAAGAAAAGUCCACACUCAUCAGGGAUGUUCCAAUGGAGGAUCCUUCGAUGCUUAAGUUAGUCAGAGCUUGAAAACUGUAGAAAAAGAGGGAGGGGGGGG
RNAcentral lists this long non-coding RNA (232 nucleotides) under Elaeis guineensis (African oil palm). RNAcentral's name for it is "long non-coding RNA (EGUI_LNC031052)". The record is from RNAcentral. Lineage: Eukaryota; Viridiplantae; Streptophyta; Magnoliopsida; Arecales; Arecaceae.